This 75-nucleotide transfer RNA is filed under the name Clostridiaceae bacterium. RNAcentral describes it as "tRNA-Arg". It matches the Rfam family "tRNA". Rfam says of the family: Transfer RNA (tRNA) molecules are approximately 80 nucleotides in length. Their secondary structure includes four short double-helical elements and three loops (D, anti-codon, and T loops). Further hydrogen bonds mediate the characteristic L-shaped molecular structure. tRNAs have two regions of fundamental functional importance: the anti-codon, which is responsible for specific mRNA codon recognition, and the 3' end, to which the tRNAs corresponding amino acid is attached (by aminoacyl-tRNA synthetases). tRNAs cope with the degeneracy of the genetic code in two manners: having more than one tRNA (with a specific anti-codon) for a particular amino acid; and 'wobble' base-pairing, i.e. permitting non-standard base-pairing at the 3rd anti-codon position. The record is from RNAcentral. Lineage: Bacteria; Bacillati; Bacillota; Clostridia; Eubacteriales; Clostridiaceae. RNAcentral also lists the same sequence under 1 other name.
GCUUCGGUCGUUCAAUGGAUAGGACUGCAGUUUCCGGUACUGCCAAUACGGGUUCGACUCCUGUCCGAAGCGCCA